CUCAGUUGCUCUGUUAAACAGCAAAAUUCCCAAGUCCUCAUCUCAAUGAGCCACUGAGGCCGAUGAAGAGGGCCUGUCUCAUUUAGGACAUGAGUGGCCAGGCGGGUGCCACAGGCCCUUUUCCUGGUGACAACAAAGCCAUUGCAUGGCUCCAGGAAGGCCACAUCAUUUCCUGGGUUUCGUAGGCGCCUGCGGGGCGGAAACAGUUCAGCAGGGCCCUCCUGAUCACAAGGACGAGGUCAUACCGGCUGCUGCAUGGCAGGGCUGCACUCUGCCAGGGAGCGUCCUGUGAUGGAGGGGCUGCACUGCCACUUUACUGAUGAGGAAAUUAAGGUUCAGAGAGAUGAGGUCAUUUCUUAGAGGCCAGACAGCCUCCUCAGCCCAUUUAUAAGGUUGUUUCUGUGGUAUUUGCCAUAAAGCCAUAGGUUCAUUGAUUUGUUCUUAAGUAGUUCUGAGCCCUUCCUGCAUAUCAGGCAGGGACAAACAGGAAAGUCCCUGCCUUUGGCAAGUGCGGGGGAAAUGAAAUGAUUCUGCUUAGCCGCAUCCAUUGGUCUGAACAAUCACGUCUCAUGACCGCAGGGACGCGGCUUCCCCUGAAUGCGGAUCCUAGAGGCCAGGCAGAAGCAGCAUGGGUUUCCACUCACACGAUCUAUCUACUGCUCAUGAAAUCUCUGGAUUUAACUCUGAUGAAAGACUGGAGGCUGAAGGAGAACUUCAAUAUCAUAUAUUUUAAAGGUUGACUCACAGUUUGGAGCAAGAAUUAAAGAACCACGAACUUCAAGGUAAAACGGGCAACGGCGUUGGGGCAAGCCUCUCUGCACCUGCGUGUCCAGCCUCUCCUGCAUGCCAGAAGUCCCCAGGCAGGAGUGUGGUGGGACAUCCGGCUGGGGUAAGGACAGGCACCCUCCCACAGUGUCAGGGCCCAGAGAGUGGGUGGAGAAGCUCUGCAAGAGACCUGUGCAAGGGCGCCUUGUAGGAGCCUGCAGUCCCCACAGGUGUGUUUGUGGAUAACACUUGGGGAGCCCUGGCCUUUUGGGGUCAUGGAGGGCUUGGCCUCUCACCUCAGAGCUGCGGAGGAGCCGCUUCUACAUCAGGACAUCAGAAGCUGGAACAGGAUGACCGGCAAGGGGCCUCUGGUUGGGGUCACAGAGAUGGGUCGCAGAGAUGGCCCGUGUGGAAGGUUGGAUUCUCACCCCACCUCUGCCCCUAGAUGUCCUGGUGACCCUCCCCUCUGUAGUCUUUGUUUUUUGCAAAACAGUUAUGACCUCCUGCCAUACUGGGUACUUUGCUUAUGUAUUGUGUUUACUCUUUACUGUGUGUCUCUCCUGCUAAGGUCUACGAAGAAGGGUCUUUGUGGGUGGGGUUCUUAGAGGCGUCCCAAGUACCAGAAGCAGUCCCUGGACUAAGGGGCUCAAUAAAUAUUUUUUAUUUAUUAUUUUUUCUUUUUGAGAUGGAGUCUCGCUCUCUUGACCAGGCUGGAGUACAGUGGCACAAUCUUGGCUCACUGCAGCCUUCGCCUCCUGGGUUCAAGUGAUUUCCGGCUAAUUUUUGUAUUUUUAGUAGAGACGGGGUUUCACCAUGUUGGCCAGGCUGGUCACAAACUCCUGACCUCAUGUGAUCCAUCCGCCUCAGCCUCCCAACAUGCUGGGAUUAUAGACAUUAGCCACCAUGCCUGGCCAAAUAUUUGUCAAAUUGAAUUUGUAUUUCCAUACAAAUUUUAGUCUGGAUGAAGUGCUUCAUGCCUGUAAUCCAAGCACUUUGAGAGGCUGAGGCGGGUGGAUGGCUUGAGCCCAGGAGUUUGAGACCAGCAUGGAAAACAUAGAGAAACCCCGUCUCAAUAUAAGAAGAAGAAGAAAAAGAAAAAAAAAAAUCAAAAACGAAAACAACACAAAUUUUAGGGUGAUGUAAAAUUCUCAAACAAUGAGAUAGAUAAAAAGUACGCAGCCAAAAAGUUCAAGAAGAAGUGUUAUGGAGAUGGAGCAGGCCCUUCGUAAAAACACGAUGUUGGUUUUCUGGAUUUUGUAUGUUUGCUUUUUUUUUUUCCUCAUCCUAAAGAAAUAUUCACUGUCAUACCUAAUU
Molecule: long non-coding RNA, 2079 nt
Filed under: Homo sapiens (human)
Lineage: Eukaryota; Metazoa; Chordata; Mammalia; Primates; Hominidae
Description: HSALNT0149222
Source: RNAcentral